Molecule: ribosomal RNA, 469 nt
Filed under: uncultured bacterium
Lineage: Bacteria
Description: partial 16S ribosomal RNA
Rfam family: Bacterial small subunit ribosomal RNA
Source: RNAcentral
GAUGAACGCUGGCGGCGCGCCUAACACAUGCCAGUCGAACGGUUAAAGCACCUUUUAGGUGUGUAUAAAGUGGCGAACGGCUGAGUAACACGUGGGCAACCUGCCCUCCUCUUGGGGAUAGCCUCGGGAAACCGAGGAUAAUACCCGAUACUUCAAUGUGGCCGCAUGACGACAUUGAGAAAGCUUUUGCGGAGAAGGAUGGGCCCGCGGCCUGUUAGCUUGUUGGUGGGGUAGAGGCCUACCAAGGCAAUGAUGGGUAGCUGGGUUGAGAGACCGACCAGCCAGAUUGGGACUGAGACACGGCCCAGACUCCUACGGGAGGCAGCAGUGGGGAAUCUUGCACAAUGGGCGAAAGCCUGAUGCAGCGACGCCGCGUGCGGGACGAAGGCCUUCGGGUUGGAAACCGCUUUCAGCAGGGACGAGGCGAUAAGUGACGGUACCUGCAGAAGAAGCCCCGGCUAACUACGUG